This 429-nucleotide ribosomal RNA is filed under the name Bacteroidota bacterium. RNAcentral describes it as "Bacteroidetes bacterium partial 16S ribosomal RNA". It matches the Rfam family "Bacterial small subunit ribosomal RNA", at positions 355 to 776 of the family's 1533-position model. Lineage: Bacteria; Pseudomonadati; Bacteroidota. The record is from RNAcentral.
UAGGGAAUCUUCGGCAAUGGGGGGAACCCUGACCGAGCAACGCCGCGUGAGUGAAGAAGGUUUUCGGAUCGUAAAGCUCUGUUGUUAAGGAAGAACGAGUGUGAGAAUGGAAAGUUCAUACUGUGACGGUACUUAACCAGAAAGGGACGGCUAACUACGUGCCAGCAGCCGCGGUAAUACGUAGGUCCCGAGCGUUGUCCGGAUUUAUUGGGCGUAAAGCGAGCGCAGGCGGUUAGAUAAGUCUGAAGUUAAAGGCAGUGGCUCAACCAUUGUAGGCUUUGGAAACUGUUUAACUUGAGUGCAGAAGGGGAGAGUGGAAUUCCAUGUGUAGCGGUGAAAGGCGUAGGUAUAUGGAGGAACACCGGUGGCGAAAGCGGCUCUCUGGUCUGUAACUGACGCUGAGGCUCGAAAGCGUGGGGAGCGAACAGG